Molecule: ribosomal RNA, 2037 nt
Filed under: Triticum aestivum (bread wheat)
Lineage: Eukaryota; Viridiplantae; Streptophyta; Magnoliopsida; Poales; Poaceae
Description: partial small subunit ribosomal RNA
Source: RNAcentral
AUGGUUCACCUGUCCUCUGCCUGCUCUCCGGAGGAGAGGGCUGUCCUAAUGGACAUCCGGUCUUCCCUGAGGAGAGCACACUCCAUGUUUUCGCCUGAUCUUUGGGGGCAUGAUGAUGAUGAAUGCUGCUCGUGGGAGACUGUGACAUGCAACAAUAGCACCCGACGAGUGACUCAUCUCGACCUUUCCCUUGUAUAUCUAUCAGCAGAUGCAGGUGAACGUUGGUAUUUAAACUUGACGGUGUUUUCUGCAUUCCAUGAGCUUCGGUACCUAGAUCUAUCAUACAACUUUCAGUGUUCGCUAAGCUUCGAAGGGUUAGUUGGACUACCCAGGCUUCUAUAUCUUGAUCUCAGUGGCAUCACGUUGGGAGGGGGUUUCCUGGAAUUUAUUGGGGCAUUUGUUUCAAUGGAAGUCUUAGCUCUCAAUGGUAACAACAUCACUGGAGGUAUUCCAGAGGCAGCUUUCAAUAAUCUUAGAAAUUUGCGACAAUUGAAUAUGUCUAUGAAUAGACUCAACGGAAACCUCCCGGCAUCUCUAUUUGCACUUCCUCACCUAAAAAUCUUAGAUCUCUCAAACAAUAUCUUUGAUGGGUAUAUUCCAAUAAGUUCGUCCUCACGACCAAUUUCCCUUGAAGUCUUAGAUCUCAGCUAUAAUCACCUCACUGGAAUUCUCCCGAUUAAAGCCUUUAAGAACAUCAGGAGCUUGAAUUUGGCCAGCAACCUAUUCAGUGGAUCUCUCCUUGUGUCAACACUUGCACUUCCUCAUCUGAAGUUCCUAGAUCUCUCAGACAAUCAUUUUGAGGGAGAUUUUCCUAUUAAUUUUUCUUCACAGCAAGUUCCACUUGAAGUCUUACAUCUCAAUGGUAAUAACAUGAGUGGAGCUCUUCCGACUGAACGAGCAUUUGAAAAUCUCCGGAACCUACGGCAGUUGUAUUUGAGUUACAACCAAUUCAGCGGAAACAUUCCAACAUUAGCAUUUCAAAAUCUCCAGAACCUGCGAGAAUUGUCUUUGAGUUCCAAUCAAUUCAUUGGAAACAUUCCAUCAUUAUUGUUUUCUCUACCACAUAUUGAACUGUUGAAUCUCGCAUCAAACUUCUUCAGCGGACCAAUUCCUAUAAAUAAAUCUUCGAAUCUUUCACCGUCACUUAAGAGUCUUCGAUUGUCCCAAAACAAAUUGAAUGGUAGAUUUUCUUUCAUUUGGCUUGGAGACCUCAUAAAACUAGAAGAGAUAGACCUUUCAGGCAAUGCUAACCUAGUCGUCCAUGUCAAUAUUCCUGGAUGGACACCUCCUUUCCAACUGAAACAGUUAUUGCUCUCUGGCUGUGACGUUGACAAGAGCAUUAUUGCAGAACCACAUUUUUUAGACACACAGCAUUAUUUAGAGGUGCUUGAUUUGUCCAAUAAUAACUUGUCAGUUAGCAUGCCGCAUUGGUUGUUUACAAAGGAAGCAACAUUACAGGAACUAUAUCUUGGAAAUAACUCGCUAACUGGAUUGCUAGACCCAAUAUGGCACACCCAGUCUUUUCUCCAGGUUAUCGACUUACACAUGAACCAUGUCACAGGACAGCUGCCAGCCAACAUCAGUUUAAUGUUUCCAAGGUUGCUGAUUCUGGAUGUUUCUAGUAACAACUUCUUUGGGCACAUACCAACUUCAUUGUGCGAGAUCAACUUCAUGACGCUUUUAGACCUGUCAAACAACAAUUUUUCUGGGGAAUUUCCAGCUUGUGUGUUCACUAAUUAUCCCAUGCUAGUGAGCUUAAAGGUCUCAAACAAUAAGCUUGGUGGUCUGAUUUUUGGCGGAAUGAAUAACCUGUCCAUUACGUCGGAACUGUACCUGGAUGGUAACAAAUUUGAAGGGACGGUGCCUCGUGAUCUGUCAGGAGGGACUUUAAUGGUUAUUGAUUUGCAUGACAACGAGUUAUCUGGCAAACUUGAUAUGUCAUUAUGGAAUAUGUCUUCCUUGAAAGUCCUACAAUCUUGCUGGCAAUCGUAUAACUGGCAAAAUUCAUCCACAAAUUUGCAGCUUUACCAGAUUUGA